ACGGAAGGCAGCAGUGGGGAAUAUUGCACAAUGGGGGAAACCCUGAUGUAGCGACGCCGCGUGAGUGAAGAAGUAUUUCGGUAUGUAAAGCUCUAUCAGCAGGGAAGAAAAUGACGGUACCUGACUAAGAAGCCCCGGCUAACUACGUGCCAGCAGCCGCGGUAAUACGUAGGGGGCAAGCGUUAUCCGGAUUUACUGGGUGUAAAGGGAGCGUAGGCGGCAUGGCAAGCCAGAUGUGAAAGCCCGGGGCCCAACCCCGGAACUGCAUUUGGAACUGUCAGGCUAGAGUACCGGAGAGGUAAGCGGAAUUCCUAGUGUAGCGGUGAAAUGCGUAGAUAUUAGGAGGAACACCAGUGGCGAAGGCGGCUUACUGGACGGUAACUGACGCUGAGGCUCGAAAGCGUGGGGAGCAAACAGGAUUAGAUACCCUGGUA
Molecule: ribosomal RNA, 434 nt
Filed under: uncultured Clostridium sp.
Lineage: Bacteria; Bacillati; Bacillota; Clostridia; Eubacteriales; Clostridiaceae
Description: partial 16S ribosomal RNA
Rfam family: Bacterial small subunit ribosomal RNA
Source: RNAcentral